This 525-nucleotide ribosomal RNA is filed under the name uncultured bacterium. Its description in RNAcentral is "bacterial SSU rRNA". It matches the Rfam family "Bacterial small subunit ribosomal RNA", at positions 94 to 692 of the family's 1533-position model. The record is from RNAcentral.
AGUGGCGAACGGGUGAGUAACACGUGAGUAACUGCCCUUGACUCUGGGAUAACCUCCGGAAACGGAAGCUAAUACCGGAUAAGGAUGGACUCGCGGCCUAUCAGGUAGUUGGUGAGGUAACGGCUCACCAAGCCUACGACGGGUAGCCGGCCUGAGAGGGGACCGGCCACACUGGGCUGAGACACGGCCCAGACUCCUACGGGAGGCAGCAGUGGGGAAUAUUGCACAAUGGGCGCAAGCCUGAUGCAGCAACGCCGCGUGAGGGAUGACGGCCUUCGGGUUGUAAACCUCUUUUAGUAGGGAAGCGGUACCUGCAGAAAAAGCACCGGCUAACUACGUGCCAGCAGCCGCGGUAAUACGUAGGGUGCGAGCGUUGUCCGGAAUUAUUGGGCGUAAAGAGCUCGUAGGCGGUCUGUCGCGUCUGCUGUGAAAACCCGAGGCUCAACCUCGGGCCUGCAGUGGGUACGGGCAGACUAGAGUGCGGUAGGGGAGAAUGGAAUUCCUGGUGUAGCGGUGGAAUGCGCA